Molecule: long non-coding RNA, 2437 nt
Organism: Lathyrus oleraceus (garden pea)
Lineage: Eukaryota; Viridiplantae; Streptophyta; Magnoliopsida; Fabales; Fabaceae
Exons: 5
Source: RefSeq, a predicted model, not a curated record
UUUUUUUGUCAAAUCCUCCAACAUCUUUUUCAGUACUGCACCCCCAACGUCUUUUUCACUCCACCCUCCAACCCUUUAAAUCUUUCAUCAAAUCUGCAAUAGCCUUUAAACCUUCAAUUGCCAUAGCUAAGAGAAAUCACAAUUGUUUGUAAUUUAUAUAUGAAGGCAAACUUCCGAACAUCUUCCAAUAUUGUGGAUGUUUAUGUUUCCGCUGUUAUCAGUAGCCAUAGUUCUGCACAAACUACAGUAGAGGUGUCCAUGUUGUGUGUCUCCCUUCCAGGAUUUAUCACGACGGAUUGUAUCGGUGGAGUUAAUGAGUUUUGAAGCAAUGAUAGUAAAGAUACAAUCUGGAUUAUCUUUAAGCGGAUCACAAGCUGUAGGAAAUAGAGUAUGCUUAAUCGGUGUCGAUGUUGUUUGUUGAAUGGUAUAGGAUAUGUGAUCUUCCUGCUGCUCUACCCACUUCAUCGUGUAGUUGCAUCAGCGAAGGCUGCUUAAUGGGGAUUAUACGACAUAUCGCUUUUUCCGUCGGUUGAUGUCUUCAGCUUUUUGUCUUGGGGGAGAUGGAGAUGAUUCGGAAGACAGACCUUGAUGUUCAUGUGUUGUACUGGGAGACAUAUUCAUACCGUUGAAAUCUUGGGUACCGGGGGACAAAGUCGGGUAGUGAAUGUGUUGGUUGUGUGAAGGUGUUGAAUUGCGUGUGUUGAAUGUAGAAGUGAGUUGAGAGAAUGUAAUGUUUAAAUGUUUGUGGUUAGGAUUGAGGAUUUCAGUUAUCAAAGUUUGGUUGAGGAAUUGGAGUGUAUUGUAUGGAUGUGGUUGAUAUUGUUUGUUGGUUGUAAAAGUAAUUUGGUUAAGGGAAUAAAGUGUGGAGAUUUUGGUGUUGGGAUGAGGUGGCAUAAAAGGUGUGUUGUUGUGUGGUCUGGGUGUUGUCAUAAAAGGUGUGAUGGUAUGUUUGUUGGACGGAUGAAGAUGGUUGGACCCCAAAUUGGGAUGUGUACGUGGGGGGGAAUGUCAUGAUGUAUGAGGGAGAUAGUUUGUUGGGUUGAAGAAGAGACACGUUGACGGGGAUCGUUCAAAAAUUGUGUCGGAGCAACAUGCAUAAAAAGAAUUGCCAAAAACCAAUUCAUAUAUUCUCUAUCCGACUUAGACUCACAAAGUAUUGAUUUCCCUUGUAAUACCAAAUGCCUUCUCUUUUUCCAUUCUUUGACCUCUUCUUUGUUCAAAUGUUGCCCAUGUGUAUCCCAAGCUUGGACCAUAGUCAUAUCACGGUGUUCCCUUAGACAUCAUCGCUGAGACGAGAGAUGUUGUUCAAAUCCAAAUUGGAGUUUGACUCUAUCUGUCUGAUGCAUCUCAACGUUAAAGAAACAUAUUAUAUAUGAUGUCGCACUCCAGACUCGACUAUCACUAUAAUCAGGCACCGAGUAUUGUACGUAUGGCCUCCAUAUAAACAUUCAUAAGUAAUAUAAUUGUUAUAAUAUAAAUAAGAAGUUUAGAUAAGUUAAAAAUUGUAAUGUACGAUACUUACAUCAUUUUCUUCCAUGUGUUCAAUUGCAACUCGGUAUCCACGUAGAUGAUGACAAGGGUUAUUUCCGUAAUGCAUACCUCGUUCGCAGCAUCUUGCGUUUACAAAAAAAUAUAUUAAUGUUGUGUAUAAUUUAUUGUGGGAACAAUAAAGCGCAUUCAAUGAAUUAAGUACCUUAAUGCAUACAGAUGUGAUAACACCUCAGUACUAAUUGCUACACCUCAGUACAACACAAUCUCCUAUGCUCUUCACUCCUUUCUAGGCUGCCUUGCACAUAUGUCUAUAUAAUGUUGUCAGACAAGCAAAACCCCAACUGUAUGUGUUACAUUUUUCCAGGUCUCCUACUAAAGGUAACCAAGAUGAAUGCAAUAAAUUGUGACUCUUAUAUGGCACUAAGAAUGUAGCUAAAAUAUAGACUUUUGCAUGAAGAAUGUUUUCUGCUCCAUUGGGAAAGAAUUAUUUUUUAACUGUGUUAAUAAAGCUUCUAACCAAACAAUUUCCACAUAAGCCCCAUUUUUAUAUGAAAUCUUCGGUUCUACACCUAAAUUCUCCAUGUAAACAUCCUUAGUUACAUUAGUUGGACCAUUAACAUGUUUACCGUUAAUUCAUAGACCGAGUAACAUACUCACAUCCUCUAGUGUAGUAGUAUAUUCACCAGUUAGUAAAUGAAAAGUAUGUGUCUCAGAUCUCCAUCUCUUUAACAACGCAACAACUAGUUUGUAUUGUAGUCUAUUUUUAAACUUGACAUUUUUGCUACUUUAGCAAAAUCGGCUUGUUCUAAAUAUUGUAAUAUAACAACACUUGGUUGAAUAUGAGUAUGUGAAUGGACUCGAAACCUAGUCUCUUCCUGAAUGAAUAUCUUGGUGAUGAGAUGCUGAAUUUAUAAAAAAACUUAAUGAAUAUGUAGAGUAUAAAAUA